This 97-nucleotide transfer RNA is filed under the name Aspergillus pseudotamarii. It matches the Rfam family "tRNA". From Rfam's summary of the family: Transfer RNA (tRNA) molecules are approximately 80 nucleotides in length. Their secondary structure includes four short double-helical elements and three loops (D, anti-codon, and T loops). Lineage: Eukaryota; Fungi; Ascomycota; Eurotiomycetes; Eurotiales; Aspergillaceae. The record is from Rfam by way of RNAcentral.
GGCAAGGUGGUCGAGUGGUUAAGACGUAAGACUUGAAUCCAACAUUGGAUGUUAUCUUAUCCCUUCGGGGUCGCGCGUUCAAAUCGCGUCCUUGUCG